GAUUACGAUGUUAUUAGAACCAAUCGGUUCUUUGUUAAUGUAGAAUGUUUCAGACUUUAACGAGGAAUGAAACAAUUCUAUUGGUGCGUUAUCUGAAG
This is a non-coding RNA of Brochothrix campestris FSL F6-1037, 98 nucleotides long. Lineage: Bacteria; Bacillati; Bacillota; Bacilli; Caryophanales; Listeriaceae. The record is from Rfam.